CCCAAGAGAUCGGGAUAACACCUGGAAACAGAUGCUAAUACCGGAUAACAACAGAUGAUGCCUAUCAACUGUUUAAAAGAUGGUUCUGCUAUCACUCUUGGAUGGACCUGCGGUGCAUUAGCUAGUUGGUAGGGUAAUGGCCUACCAAGGCGAUGAUGCAUAGCCGAGUUGAGAGACUGAUCGGCCACAUUGGGACUGAGACACGGCCCAA
Molecule: ribosomal RNA, 211 nt
Filed under: uncultured bacterium
Lineage: Bacteria
Description: partial 16S ribosomal RNA
Rfam family: Bacterial small subunit ribosomal RNA
Source: RNAcentral